UCUCGCCGGAUAUUCUCAGUGGGUCGCGU
RNAcentral lists this non-coding RNA (29 nucleotides) under Bombyx mori (domestic silkworm). Lineage: Eukaryota; Metazoa; Arthropoda; Insecta; Lepidoptera; Bombycidae. The record is from RNAcentral.